CCUACGGGUGGCUGCAGUGGGGAAUAUUGGACAAUGGGCGCAAGCCUGAUCCAGCCAUGCCGCGUGGAUGACGAAGGCCCUAGGGUUGUAAAGUCCUUUCGCACGCGACGAUGAUGACGGUAGCGUGAGAAGAAGCCCCGGCCAACUUCGUGCCAGCAGCCGCGGUAAUACGAAGGGGGCUAGCGUUGUUCGGAAUCACUGGGCGUAAAGGGCGCGUAGGCGGCCACCCAAGUCAGGCGUGAAAGCCCCGGGCUCAACCUGGGAACCGCGCUUGA
This 275-nucleotide ribosomal RNA is filed under the name uncultured bacterium. Its description in RNAcentral is "partial 16S ribosomal RNA". It matches the Rfam family "Bacterial small subunit ribosomal RNA", at positions 338 to 630 of the family's 1533-position model. The record is from RNAcentral.